RNAcentral lists this long non-coding RNA (1976 nucleotides) under Cricetulus griseus (Chinese hamster). RNAcentral's name for it is "lncRNA (ENSCGRG00015032497.1)". The record is from RNAcentral. Lineage: Eukaryota; Metazoa; Chordata; Mammalia; Rodentia; Cricetidae.
GUCAGCUUGGCUGUGUGUCUGUCUGCUGUGUGUGGUGGUCUGUGGUCUGCAUCUGCCUAUGGAAGACCAGUGUGCCUGCGCCACUGCACCCCAGAGCUGUCACGUCACAUCCUGGGAACUGUCCACUUGGAUCUGAGGAGCAGCCUUGUGUAGGCUCCACUGCACUGUGAACCUGCCAUGGCAGAGACUCCUGGUGCCACUGUUCACAGACAUCCAAUGUAGAAGCCCUGGGGCUUCAGCUCAGGGCCUCUGGUGGCAUUCAUAAUGAACCUCACAAGAGAAAGCCUGGCCUGUGGUAUCAUGCUGACAGUAACCUAGGAGACAUCCUCAUAGACCCUGGGGUCUAGGUAGGAAAACCCCUCUGUUACUGGUCUGGGGCUGUCAGAGACAAGAGACUGGGGCCAGCAUCUCCCAGCAUGGCCUUCACUCAGGAUGGUGGCAUGUUAGUGCCUCUUCUGGUGAGCCCUCCUUUGCUCUCCUGCUGGAGCUGUCUUGUGGGCCUCUCCUCAGAGGGGCCUCUGUAUGACUGACUGUCAGCUGCAGUGAGGAGGAACCCCUGGUGACUGUGUUGUCCCCCACUGCCAAGUGCAUCUCCUCAAAAGGACUCCACACCUUCUAGAGAUCAGCAGCUGCAGACACAGGAGGCCUUGAACUCUGUGCCUCUGCUUCUAAGGCUGCUGUCCCUGCCCAGGUGGCUUUGAUGAGCUUCUCCUGCAUCUGCACUAACCUGCCGGUCUCUGUCAAGGUGGUGGUCUUUGGAGAUGAAUUCUCCGUUAUUUUACUACUUAUGAUAAAGCAUUUAUUUUUGACCAGGCCUGUGGCUUCCAGUAGCAAUAUGUUUCCCUGAUAUGCAAAUACUGGCUUUAUUUGCUCAAUUUUCUGAGUGCUUUGAAAUUGAGAUGAUUGUACGACUCACAGUCCUUUCCUGUCUUGCUCAAACUGUCCUUGCAGACUUAGGAUUUAACAAACAAGACUCCUUAGUGAGGGUGGUGUUUCCAAGGGAAGACAGAACAGCACCCAGGAGAUGGAAGGUUCCAGAAGGUUCUUCCUCAUGAGGCGCCUCUCUUGUUUCCCAGAGUCUAGGCUGCUCUGGGCUGGCCUCCUCAGUCUGGGCCUCUUGGGAGGGGAGGGACUGCCUUGUCAAUUCCACACAUAGCAUUUUAUCCAGGGGCCCAAUCAGGGCCUCACUUGCUGCAGAUGUGGAAAAAGUUUUGUUCUCUGUGUGGAGGGGUAAGGUCAUGUUUCCAUGUGGGUGUUUGUUUCCCUCCCUUCAUUUCUAAAGGGAGGGAGCAGCAGUUCCAUGGUGGAUCUGCUGGCUGAGUCUUCCAGCUGAAUGUGAUCAGUGUUGGGUGGGCCGGGUUCUGGAUAUGCAGGCGCCAUGUCUUGGAGGGAGGCAGGCACCUUCAUGGGCAGGGAUUGUCGUUUGCUCCUGUAUCAGUUAUUUCCUGUGACAUUCUCUAGUUGUGUAGAAGCUGAUGUGUCCCUCAUGUCUCCUCUACAUUGGUUUCUUCCUUUGUCUACUAGAGUAUCCAUUGCAAAAUCUCUUCCACUGUGUCUUGAGUAGCAUGGUUCCCCCAACUGACAUCCUGACUUCUAUGUAUUGCUGCCAGUGGAGGCAAGUCCUUUCCUUCCUUAGAAGUCAUUAGAAACAGGCUAGGGGUAGAAUAGGGCCCGGAGAAAUCAUCAAAGGUCUAGGUGACAUGUACUGACAUAAAUAACUGAAGCUUUUCUAAAAGUGGCCGUUUGGUUGGAUCAUCACAUCAGUUUGAACUCUGUGCUUGGCAGUAGAUGUGCAGAGGGCCACCUCCCUGGUGUUUCUGUUCUCGCUCACCUGCCUGUCGCUAGGGGGCUGUUCUCAUCCUAAUCCUUGUGUGGCUGCAUCUGUAUGUGUACAGGGGUCCCCACACUCUCCAUUUCCUCUUCAGGAGCCCCCAGAUAGUGCCAAGAUCUUGGUGCAAUAAAGCAAUGCAUUUGGG